GAUGAAGAACGUAGCAAAAUGCGAUACUUGGUGUGAAUUGCAGAAUCCCGUGAACCAUCGAGUUUUUGAACGCAAGUUGCGUCCGAAGCCUUUUGGCCGAGGGCACGUCUGCCUGGGCGUCACGCAUCGCGUCGCCCCCCACAAUUCUCCGUAAAGGGAACGUGUGUUUUGGGGGCGGAUAUUGGUCUCCCGUGCUCAUGGCGUGGUUGGCCGAAAUAGGAGUCCUUUCGAUGGACGCACGAACUAGUGGUGGUCGUAAAAACCCUCGUCUUUUGUUUCGUGCUGUUGCUCGCAAGGUAAACUCUUUAAAAACCCCAAUGUGUCGUCUCUUGACGACGCUUCGACCGCGACCCCAGGUCAGGCGGGACUACCCGCUGAGUUUAAGCAUAUCAAUAAGCGGAGGA
This 404-nucleotide unclassified non-coding RNA is filed under the name soil metagenome. RNAcentral describes it as "partial contains 5.8S ribosomal RNA, internal transcribed spacer 2, and large subunit ribosomal RNA". The stretch from base 1 to 122 matches the Rfam family "5.8S ribosomal RNA", at positions 35 to 154 of the family's 154-position model. The record is from RNAcentral.